This 532-nucleotide ribosomal RNA is filed under the name uncultured Agrococcus sp. RNAcentral's name for it is "bacterial SSU rRNA". It matches the Rfam family "Bacterial small subunit ribosomal RNA", at positions 101 to 647 of the family's 1533-position model. Lineage: Bacteria; Bacillati; Actinomycetota; Actinomycetes; Micrococcales; Microbacteriaceae. The record is from RNAcentral.
AACGGGUGAGUAAUACGUGAGCAAUGUGCCCUUGACUCUGGGAUAAGCGCUGGAAACGGCGUCUAAUACCGGAUACGACGAUCGGAGGCAUCUCCUGGUCGUGGAAAGAACUUCGGUCAAGGAUCAGCUCACGGCCUAUCAGUUAGUUGGUGAGGUAAUGGCUCACCAAGACGACGACGGGUAGCCGGCCUGAGAGGGUGACCGGCCACACUGGGACUGAGACACGGCCCAGACUCCUACGGGAGGCAGCAGUGGGGAAUAUUGCACAAUGGGCGCAAGCCUGAUGCAGCAACGCCGCGUGAGGGACGAAGGCCUUCGGGUUGUAAACCUCUUUUAGCAGGGAAGAAGCGAAAGUGACGGUACCUGCAGAAAAAGCACCGGCUAACUACGUGCCAGCAGCCGCGGUAAUACGUAGGGUGCAAGCGUUGUCCGGAAUUAUUGGGCGUAAAGAGCUCGUAGGCGGUUUGUCACGUCUGCUGUGAAAACCCGAGGCUCAACCUCGGGCUUGCAGUGGGUACGGGCAGACUAGAGU